Molecule: long non-coding RNA, 1496 nt
Filed under: Gallus gallus (chicken)
Lineage: Eukaryota; Metazoa; Chordata; Aves; Galliformes; Phasianidae
Description: lncRNA (ENSGALG00010025641.1)
Source: RNAcentral
GGUGCCCAGCAGCAGGUGCCCGGCAGCAGCCCGCACCGCACCGCACCGCGCCGCGCAGGAGCGGAGGGGCUCGAGCGAGAGGCGCGGUCCCGGCCGUAAGCAAGAAACUUUCCUCGCUCACAGAGCCCUCUUGGAGCAGCACGGCGCCCCGCUGCCAGGGAGCUCCUGGCGCCGGUCCGGCCCCGCCGCCCUUCUGGUUGCGGAGAGGCGCUCCCGGCCCGACGGACCCCGCGCCGCGUCCGUGCCGGAGGUGCCGCCAAAUCCGGACCGGAGCAGAAGGGAUUCACUGUGAACUAUGAGCGCUGCGACAAAAGUUUUCUAAGUGACAGAUGCGUGCAUAAGUAAACUUGUAUGCAGAAAUUAAAAUCAACUGGAGUUGGUAGCAUCCUCUCUGGAAGUUAAAUAUCGUUCAAAGCUGGGGCGGCACGGGGGUCGGGUUGCGCGUAGCCGAUGGCCUCGGACCGUGCGGGAGUCGGGUAUCGCUGCGGGACGGGCAGCAGCACCGAGGCGGCCGGGGGCAGCGCGACUGCGGCAAGGAGACGGGGGAAGGAAGACGGGCGGAGCGGCAUCGGAGAUAGCAGAAAGAAAAACUCUACUGAGAAGUGUGAAAAGAAAAGGAGGGGGAGGAGCCGCCCACAUGCUGCCAGGAGCCGUCCCGCUGGCAGCUUCUGCUCUCUGCUGUAUCGCUGCCGAACUGGGCGCCAAGACAGGACAUAUGCAAAAUCAUUUCACUGUGGCACAAACACAAGAAACAUGAUUUGGAAGAAAGGACAGGGGCCAGAGUGUCUGUCUCUUAUUCUCCCACUCGCAUUGCUGCAAACUGGCCAUCAUGAAUUCCAGGCAAUUAAAAAGGACAUGAGUUCUGAAGCAUUUUAAAAGGGGCUUUGCUUCCAAAUGAGGAAGUGUGUAAAUCCUACUCAGGACCCAUGCUCAAUUAUGAGAUCCUUGCAGAAGAUGAAACAGGUGCUCCUGAAACAACCUUUGGCAGGAACAGGGCAGAGAGGAAGAACCAGAUGAGCCAGAAGUGGCUCCAAAGGCAAGUGGUAGUAAUCCUGUCCUGCUAAGGAAGUCAGGAGGCAAGAAAAGAAAACAAAUAGAAUAAGCAGCUCGUUACAAUUAAAUUACAGCCCAGUUUUCACAGGUUUACCCAAGCCAAGUUCUGAGCCUAGAAAAAUUAUGCCUAAGUAAUGAAGACUCCCCUGGCUAUUCAGAGCCAGCAUCUAGCAGCAGACUCCAGAGCUGCCCCAGGUAAGACUGCUGCAGGAGCAGAGCUCUCCUCCUUACCAUGUGGAAUGUCUCUUGCUUGUCUAUUACAACAGGAAAUGUUUUGAAAUCUGAACAAUGCAGGAGAUCUGAGGGCAGACAGCACACAUAAUGAAAAGAAAAAAGAACUAUUACUUGGAAAUGAUUGUUGCUUUGUCACUUUUCCUUAAUUUCCUCAGUAACUGGUAGAAACCGUUCCUUAGAAAAUAUUUAGGAAAUAACAUCCAUAACGC